UUUGGCUGCUGUUAGUACUGCUCACUCAGUGUUGUUUCAAACCACUGCUGUUGUUUGCAGGGAUAGCCAAAGAAAUGGCCAUGAAUGGAAUAUCUCCAGAGGUUGCCUCAUUCAGACUCUGAGCAUAAUAGCUUAAGUAUUUACUUCAGAUUUUGGAGAAGAGGAAAAAGCAUAGCAGGAGAACAUCAGCAGAUGUGUGAGAAGGACAAUUACAGGGCAUCUGGAUAGAGAGAGAAAAAAACUAGCUGUCACAAUAAGCAGGUCUAGCAACAUUGUGCUGUCCUCUCAACUUCACACAAGUAUCUUAUGUAAAAUGGCUUGAUAUUAUGAUGCUCACAGCUAAUAAGAGCUUGUUCAUUCCCAUUUGGGGUUUGGGGUU
RNAcentral lists this long non-coding RNA (379 nucleotides) under Pogona vitticeps (central bearded dragon). Its description in RNAcentral is "lncRNA (ENSPVIG00000018730.1)". Lineage: Eukaryota; Metazoa; Chordata; Lepidosauria; Squamata; Agamidae. The record is from RNAcentral.